This 315-nucleotide long non-coding RNA is filed under the name Brassica rapa (field mustard). RNAcentral's name for it is "long non-coding RNA (BRAP_LNC001356)". Lineage: Eukaryota; Viridiplantae; Streptophyta; Magnoliopsida; Brassicales; Brassicaceae. The record is from RNAcentral.
GAAACUUGACAUUUAUCUUCCGAACUUGACUGUUAUCUUCUCCUUAGAUACGACGUCAAUUUUUGUAAAAAGGUUCAACGUAAUCGUAUAGUUGAGGCGGCUAAGGUGUUAAGUUAACCGUUGCCGUUUUAUACGAUUAAUCUGAAUCCAUGCGAGAAAACAAGUCUUUGUGGUUUUUUUUUUUGUCGUAAAGUUUCAAUGGUAACUCCGACCGAAACAAGAGACGUUUCGAUCGAGAUUUGAAGGACAACACAAAGCUGGAGGUAAGGGCGAGUAGGAGAAAGCCAAGGAGUUUAAGAUGAGUUUUACUUGUUU